Molecule: long non-coding RNA, 727 nt
Filed under: Gossypium barbadense (sea-island cotton)
Lineage: Eukaryota; Viridiplantae; Streptophyta; Magnoliopsida; Malvales; Malvaceae
Description: long non-coding RNA (GBAR_LNC007776)
Source: RNAcentral
CCAUUGCUAUCCCUUAAACUUCACCCACUGUUUUCUAUCAUCUUCUAGUCUGGUCUCCUUCCCCAACGUUCUUCCGGAAACGAGUUUGGUAGAUUCGGGUCUUCUUGAACUAGGUAAGAGGUUACUUCGCUCGCUAAAGCUUCUUUUGCAAUCUUAUGGGCACACGAGUUUUCUGUUCUGGGAAUAUGUUGGAAUUUUAUUGUUUGAAAAUGAACACUCUUACUUUGAAUGUCCCGUAUGAUUGCUCCUAUUACUGAUUUAUCUGCUUCUGUUGAUUGACACUUUCUGAUUACUGUUCGCGAAUCCCCUUUGAUUUGUACUUCUUGAAAACCCAUUGAAAUCCCUAACUUAAUUGCUUCCAAUCUUGCGUAUGCUUCUGCCGCGAACGGAGAUGAAACAUUAUUGUGAAGGACCGCCUUGGAGGCCAGCAAUUCGUCCCUAAGCCCAAACCACCACUCUAGACACAGAUUUGAAAGUUCUUUUGUCAAACGCCGCGUCAAAGUGCACUUUAAUCUUUGGCAAGACUUACAUAUUUCUGUAUCUUCUAGCCUUAUCUGGGUUUUCCUGCUUUGCUAUCGUCCCCUUAUAACUUAGAAUUUUCUGUGCUAGUUGUCUUCCUGUUAUAGACACCUGCUCAUGUACAAACUGGUUUCUGGAAUACCAAGUUAGCCCUAAAGCAUAACAGAAAAGUCGACUCUGCUCCUCAGACUCUUUCAUGAAUACCCAG